The sequence is a ribosomal RNA, 1404 nucleotides long. It matches the Rfam family "Bacterial small subunit ribosomal RNA".
AGUCGAGCGGUAGCACAGAGGAGCUUGCUCCUUGGGUGACGAGCGGCGGACGGGUGAGUAAAGUCUGGGGAUCUGCCUGAUGGAGGGGGAUAACUACUGGAAACGGUAGCUAAUACCGCAUGACGUCUUCGGACCAAAGUGGGGGACCUUCGGGCCUCACGCCAUGAGAUGAACCCAGAUGGGAUUAGCUGGUAGGUGAGGUAACGGCUCACCUAGGCGACGAUCCCUAGCUGGUCUGAGAGGAUGACCAGCCACACUGGAACUGAGACACGGUCCAGACUCCUACGGGAGGCAGCAGUGGGGAAUAUUGCACAAUGGGGGAAACCCUGAUGCAGCCAUGCCGCGUGUGUGAAGAAGGCCUUCGGGUUGUAAAGCACUUUCAGCGGGGAGGAAGGCAAUGAGCUUAAUAAGUUUGUUGAUUGACGUUACCCGCAGAAGAAGCACCGGCUAACUCCGUGCCAGCAGCCGCGGUAAUACGGAGGGUGCAAGCGUUAAUCGGAAUGACUGGGCGUAAAGCGCACGCAGGCGGUCUGUUAAGUUGGAUGUGAAAUCCCCGGGCUCAACCCGGGAACAGCAUUCAAAACUGACAGGCUAGAGUCUCGUAGAGGGGGGUAGAAUUCCAGGUGUAGCGGUGAAAUGCGUAGAGAUCUGGAGGAAUACCGGUGGCGAAGGCGGCCCCCUGGACGAAGACUGACGCUCAGGUGCGAAAGCGUGGGGAGCAAACAGGAUUAGAUACCCUGGUAGUCCACGCUGUAAACGAUGUCGACUUGGAGGUUGUGGUCUUGAACCGUGGCUUCCGGAGCUAACGCGUUAAGUCGACCGCCUGGGGAGUACGGCCGCAAGGUUAAAACUCAAAUGAAUUGACGGGGGCCCGCACAAGCGGUGGAGCAUGUGGUUUAAUUCGAUGCAACGCGAAGAACCUUACCUACUCUUGACAUCCAGAGAAGACUGUAGAGAUACGGUUGUGCCUUCGGGAGCUCUGAGACAGGUGCUGCAUGGCUGUCGUCAGCUCGUGUUGUGAAAUGUUGGGUUAAGUCCCGCAACGAGCGCAACCCUUAUCCUUUGUUGCCAGCACUUCGGGUGGGAACUCAAAGGAGACUGCCGGUGAUAAACCGGAGGAAGGUGGGGAUGACGUCAAGUCAUCAUGGCCCUUACGAGUAGGGCUACACACGUGCUACAAUGGCGCAUACAAAGAGAAGCGAGCCUGCGAGGGUGAGCGGACCUCAUAAAGUGCGUCGUAGUCCGGAUUGGAGUCUGCAACUCGACUCCAUGAAGUCGGAAUCGCUAGUAAUCGUAGAUCAGAAUGCUACGGUGAAUACGUUCCCGGGCCUUGUACACACCGCCCGUCACACCAUGGGAGUGGGUUGCAAAAGAAGUAGGUAGCUUAACCUUAGGGGGGGCGCU